CCUAGGCUCUCAGAGGCGAAGAAGGACGUGAUAAGCUGCGAAAAGCUGCGGGGAUCCGCAAAUAGGAAUUGAUCCGCAGAUGUCCGAAUGGGGCAACCCACCACGUUGAAGACGUGGUAUUCCGAGCAAUCGGGAAGCAAACCCAGGGAACUGAAACAUCUAAGUACCUGGAGGAGGAGAAAAUAAACUAAUGAUUGCGCAAGUAGUGGCGAGCGAACGCGCAGGAGCCCAAAACCCAAUUAGUUAAGGCUAGUUGGGGGUUAUAGGACUACAUAAUCAAAAUCGAACUAGAUUUGAACGGUAUGGGAAAGCCGGCCAUAGAGGGUGAUAGCCCCGUAAGAGAAAGGAGAGAGGAGAGGUAGUAUCCUGAGUAGGGCGGGGUCGGAGACGCCCCGUUGAAAUUGCCGGCACCAUCCGGUAAGGCUAAAUACUCCUGAGAGACCGAUAGUGAACCAGUACUGUGAAGGAAAGGUGAAAAGUACUCCGAAUAGGA
Molecule: ribosomal RNA, 493 nt
Filed under: uncultured bacterium
Lineage: Bacteria
Description: bacterial LSU rRNA
Rfam family: Bacterial large subunit ribosomal RNA
Source: RNAcentral